Molecule: ribosomal RNA, 1216 nt
Filed under: metagenome
Description: bacterial SSU rRNA
Rfam family: Bacterial small subunit ribosomal RNA
Source: RNAcentral
AGAGUUUGAUUCUGGCUCAGAACGAACGCUGGCAGCGUGGAUUAGGCAUGCAAGUCGAACGGGAUCCUGUUAAUUCAAAUCUUCGGAUGAGAUGUUCAGGUGAGAGUGGCGGAAGGGUGAGUAAUGUAUGGGCAAUCUGUCCUUAGAGUGGGGAUAACUAUGAGAAAUUAUAGCUAAUACCGAAUGUGGCACUGUAACGCGUGUUACAGCUGUUAAAGGUGGGGAUCUUCGGACCUACCCUCUAAAGAGGAGCCCGUAUGCCAUCAGCUUGUUGGUAAGGUAACGGCUUACCAAGGCUUACGGCUAGCUGGUCUGAGAGGACGACCAGCCACACUGGGACUGAGACACUGCCCAGACUCCUACGGGAGGCUGCAGUCGAGGAUCAUUCGCAAUGAGCGAAAGCUUGACGAUGCGACGCUGCGUGGAGGAUGAAGGCCCUCGGGUCGUAAACUCCUGUCAUAAGGGAAAAAGCGAGGUGCGAUAACAUCAAACUGAGUAGAUGGUACCUUAAGAGGAAGCCACGGCUAACUCUGUGCCAGCAGCCGCGGUAAUACAGAGGUGGCGAGCGUUGUUCGGAUUUACUGGGCGUAAAGGGCGCGUAGGCGGUAUAGUAUGUCGGGUGUGAAAUCUCCAGGCUCAACCUGGAAAGUGCGCUCGAAACUGCUAAACUAGAGUACGGGAGGGGAGAUCGGAAUACAAGGUGUAGCGGUGAAAUGCGUUGAUAUCUUGUAGAACACCGGUGGCGAAGGCGGAUCUCUGGAACGUAACUGACGCUGAGGCGCGAAAGUCGGGGGAGCGAACAGGAUUAGAUACCCUGGUAGUCCCGACCGUAAACGGUGUACACUUGGGGUUGGGGGAUUUCACCCCUCCAGUCCCGGAGCUAACGCGUUAAGUGUACCGCCUGGGGAGUACGGCCGCAAGGUUAAAACUCAAAGAAAUUGACGGGGGCCCGCACAAGCAGAGGAGCAUGUGGCUUAAUUCGAUGCAACGCGAAGAACCUUACCCAGGUUUGACAUAUAUCUGAAGUAUGCAGAGAUGUAUAUGCCUUUCGGGGCGCUAUUACAGGUGCUGCAUGGCUGUCGUCAGCUCGUGUCGUGAGAUGUUGGGUUAAGUCCCGCAACGAGCGCAACCCUUGCCCCUAGUUGCCAGCGGAUAACGCCGGGGACUCUAGGGGGACAGUCGGCGAUAGCCGGAGGAAGGUGGGGAUGACGUCAAG